This is a long non-coding RNA of Tyto alba (common barn owl), 5449 nucleotides long. RefSeq lists it as uncharacterized. The record is from RefSeq and is a predicted model, not a curated record. The transcript is spliced from 2 exons. NCBI's taxonomy places the organism in Eukaryota, Metazoa, Chordata, Aves, Strigiformes, Tytonidae.
AGUAUGCACGUGUGCCUUCCUAGCAUCUUGAACCACUGUUAGUUUCAUGGACAGACUGAGGACAGACAAGGGCAGUGCUGUAUAUGCAGUUCUUAAUUUUUUAACAGGCUCAUCAAGUAGGAAUUCAUAUUUGCAAAUCCUGAGGGAGCUGGGAAAACAUGGAUGAGCCACAGUGCUGAGCCUAGACAAAAAUCAGCUGAAUCAAAAUGAAGAGUAGCAUCAACAGUAAUAGUUAGAAGCACAGAGCUUUAUUAAGAACUGAUAAAUUGCCAGGCAUUACUUUCCACACAGAUAAUGAUGUAGGAUGUUGGCUGUCAGCAAGUCACUACAUAUUCCAAAAGAAGUCCAAACCAAAUAUGUUAUCAUAAUAUGUAUCAUCACCUGUUAUAUAUACUUAGCUUUAGCUUACAUCUACAUACCUGCAGAAAACAACAGUAUUUUCCAGUAAUUCUCUUGAGGCAGUUACAUUAAUGUUCUAGAUGUAAGAAUGUUCUAAUGUAAGAAUUGGUUCAUGUAAACUAUGCAUAAAUAGUUCAUGAAUCAUUCAUCGCUUGGUGCAAACCUGAAUCUUGAUUCUGCCCUGUUGUUCCCUCCUUGGGGUACCUGUGUAGACAUCCUUCCCAGCUGACUGUAGAAGCGUGUAGAUUUGCGUUUAUCCCCAAAGAAUGCCCAUAAAUGCUAUAUGUGAUUAAAAUGUUACAGCUCUGCUUGUGGUGCAGUAAUAGAUGCUGGUGGUACAGUGCCUUAGUGGGUGGUUUCUAGUUCCAUUUUACGUUACACAGUCAUAAUUUGUGAUACUGCUUUAGCAUUGUUCAUUGUUCUGCUGCAAGCAUCAGUGGUCAGGAACUUAGGAAGCAUGGGUGACCUUUGCAGCAUCCUAGAGGUCUGGCUAGGAUAACAGAAAUCUGAAUAGUUUAUUAGAGCUUGAUGAGAGGUGGACUUUUCUCUCAGUGUUUUCAGGUGGAAAUCUACCCCUUUUUGGUUGUGUAUCAAUUUCUGCAGGAUAUCUUAUCUGGGAGUAGGAUGCAGCAAGCUGAAGCCAUGUGCUCUCUGCCAAGAACAGAGCAUCUCUUAGUUAGGGUGAACAUCAGCAGAUGUUUUUGAGGAGCUCUCCUAGGCAGGGUUUUAAUACUGUCUUCGAUGUCCGGAGGAGAACACAGUUUUAACCAUGUAGAAUUCUCUGAAGCGAUUAAUAAUGUAGUAGCCAUAAUUAAGGGUCUGUCACGCAAGAGAGGAGUAAGAAACUGAUCAUUAUUCAUUGUCAUGUUUACAGAAGAGCUUAUACAGCUCUCACUGGAGACAAACUGAUAGCUAUCACUAUGGGGGGACUAUUUUUGCACUCACUAAAGGUGAAUUGGUGUACAUUAUUUAUUUUGAUUUUCACAGGAUCCAUUACAAAGAAGGCCCAGAAACUGAGGACUUUAUUCUUUCUUACUCAAGAAAACACCUGUUCAAGUCAGCAAGUAGUUUGAUUGAAUGAGGACAGUGAAACUAGUCCAUAGUGGAAAUUUUUUGAGAGGUGAGUGAUAUUUUUCCUUCAAAACUUGAGUGUGGUUAAAUGAGAGGAAAUAGAAAAUCUGGUAAGUGGGUUGCCCUAAAAUUACAACCAUCCCUCAGAGCUGUGGGCAAGUGCUCUCUGUGUUGAACUAGUCAUCAUUUCCCUAUGAGAGUGCCCCAAAGAGGAAAGUAUCUGGAUCUGCUCAGGAGGAACAUAGGAGGUUUCCUUGAUUCUGAACUUUGAAUCCUUCACAGUAAAAAGACACGCCAAGGAUGUGAAUGUAUGCAUGCAAUUGCUUACAUGUUUCUGAAUGGUGGAAUUGCUCAUACCUCUGAGUCCAGCUCAUCCAAGUUGUGGUGUACCAGCAACUCCUUGGGACCAAAAUACAGACUGCCAAAGCACUGUGUAGCAGAGAGAAGUAGGAAGUUAGUGAGUGGGAGUGACAGCCUGACAAGCUGAGCUGAGGAGACGUGCUUUUCAGUGUGGGGGGUAAUAAAUGCUAGUGUAAACUACUGAGAGGAGAUGAUAGAUUUUCUGUUUACAGAUUAAGACUGGAAGUAUUUCAGAAAGACAUGUUUUAGUCAAAUAGGAGGUAUGGCAAUUGAUGGAGAAGUAACCAAGUAAAAAUCUGACGUAGGAGGUCAGACCAGAGUGUCUGGCCCCUGUAGAUCAUAACAAUUUUUAAAAUACUGAAUUGAAGCCCCUCUGUGUUAGGGUCUGAGUAGCACAUCUCAAUGGACUUGUAAACAUCCCGAGUGGCAUUAAGAUUUCAAAUGGGAUUGUAAUGUUUGCAUGGACCCAUGUUGCGUGCCUAAGGACAGGUAGCCUUAUAAUCCUUGCUUGUCUAAUGGAGAUACCCAAACAGUGGACAUGAGCAGUUAAAGACAAAUGUGUUGUGGAUGAAAAGGAGGAGAGUCAGUGACUAUUAAAAAAUAUCAGACUGUCAUAGAAAGAUAAUACUGUCUUUUGGCUUUAGUUCCACAGAUGGACAUUUAAAGCCCUGAUGUAAAUCCUAAUGAAGUGAGGGGCUGGGGGAGUUCCACUGACUUCAGUGGGAUCAUUUUGAAGAACAGGCGUCAAUCCAUUGUGAAUCAUGCACACACAGCAGAGGAAGAACAGAACCUACUGCAGCCUGUGAGCAGCAAGAAAUUUCAGCUGGAUGACUGCAUAAGGGGUUUGCAAGACCGCCAGUAAUUUUUUACAUUCAGAGUUAAAUAGAGCAAUAAGAUGGAAUUUAAGCUUUAGUGCAAUGGAUUGUGGCUCUUCAGUCAAUCAAAUUAUAGUUCAAUCAGUUCAUUUUAAUCACUUCUCUAGAGAGAAGUAAACCCCUAUGUUGAAGAAUAUGCAGCAAUUUUAUUGAUGGAAAGUUUAAUUGUUUCAUUUUUCCUUACCGUCUGUAACACACUAGACUUUUAAUCAGUGGGAACUGAAGUUAUAAUGAAGUAAAGUCCACUUUCCACAGUUCACAACUAGCUGAAAAUAAUUGGGUUGAGACUCCCAUCCAGACAGUGUAAUGCCUCUGGCAUUUUCCUGAAAACUACACUUAAUUGCUUUGCUGAUGUUGUUAAGUGGUCCUGAGGGGGAUGAAGUAGUAAAGCUGCCCACAUAUGCAGGGAAACAAUGCACAAAAAAAUGUCUUACAAGGUCCUUAAAGGAGGACCAACUAGUGACUAGAAGACAAUAUAUGGCUUUUUUUUUUUUUUUUUUUUUUUAUUUUCUAUGCCAGAGAGAACACACAGGAGAGGCUGAUAAAAUAAACUGUGGAAAUUCUAUAAACACCAACAGUAUUUUUAUUUAAUGGCAGAAAUCUUGGAACUAGCAGUACAGAAAACAUGAAAGCAGACCUCUUGCAAUCAAACCCACAACUUAAGGCUAGCCCAACUCACUUGGCAUUUUUAUGCCGAACGCCAGUUAGCCUGCUGCCUGCCUUCGGCACCUUGGGCUGAGGAACAGAUGUACUCCCAUCCCCGGGGAGGGAGGAUGGCUUGCUCUGCGUGCUCUGAAGUGACAGGAUGUGAGCCUGCUCUGAGCUGAAAGCCUUGUCCAGGCGUCAGUGGGACCAGCGCCUGUACCCCCCGUUAGGCUCUAAACGUAACCAGAGAAGGAAUAACACACUUUGGAAUUUCUCCUUAUUUAGUGCAUUCAUGGAAGCCUUCCUCAGUUGAAUGAUGCCUGCUUCACAUGAUGAAUUAACUGCUGGACUCAAAGAAUAUUCUGAUGCAAAAAAUAUGUUAGUUAUUUAAUAGAGAAAAAUAUUUAUUUAGGGCACAUGAAUUUGGUGGUGCCCAUGAACUUGAAUUCAGGGUUGGAGCUGGAGCUGUUUUGGGCAAGUGAGGACAAGAGGGCUAAUUUAUCUUUAAGCAAGUGGUGUUUUUUUUUCCCCUUGCUUGUUUACAUAUGCAGGCACAGUAAAGUCUCUCAGCAGCCUGAUCUUCCUCAGCUGGUAUUUGUGUAAACUUCAGUAUGGCCUUUGCUUAUUUUACUCUUGCUUUGAGAGGCUCUGAGAUGAGCAGCUACCCCUUGACGACUUUCUAGAAAGGAACAUGGGCAAAAAUUUAGGCACUGAAUUCUAAAGCUGAAAUCCUAAAAGUUCCCUUAACCCUGCAUCUGAUUCUGGGUGCCCCUCAAGAGCCUCCAAGUUGGUACAUCAAAUUUUGGCCAGCAGAGCUCUCCCAGCACCUGAAAUAAAUGAUGCGUUUUCUGCUGAAAUAUGCUUAAGUCUAGACAGGACUUGAGUACUUUGGCACGUAGCCCCACGUUAGCCUGACCAAUCCCCAUAAUAUUAAUAAGCUUAAACAUCUAUUUCUCCUGUGGUGAAAUAGUAACCUCCCCUGUGCUGGAACCACCAACCAGCUGCCAAGGAGAUCAAGCCAUUGGUUUUGAGAAUUGCACUGGGAGUAGCCCAUUGUGCCUGAUUGAUUGACUCUGCUGGCCUGCCUCUGGGAGAGCAGCUCAGCAGCUGCAGAGGUUGUGCUCUGCUGUUCCAGGGCUCCCUUUGUGAGGGGAGUAGCGUGGUGUGGAACGGUUGGAGCAAAUGAGGGCUGUGUUGCGACAACUGAUGGGAGGCUGUGCUCGGUUUUGUACUCGUACCGAUGCUGAAGGCCUGCGGGAACCAGGGCAAGUCUUCACUGCAGCGGAAGAAAACCAACCUGAUGUGGCUGGCUGAAAUUCGCCACUGUGUUUGGCUGUUUGUUUCAGCGGGCACUCUCCCCUGGCUCUUCCUUUGGAGACAGGGUUGCUGUCCCAGAAGGAGGAGUGUUUCCUGGAUUGUCACACAAUACUGCAGUGUAGCUGCCCAGCUGGGCCUCAUUUCCAAGCAGACCUGCUUGCUGGGUCUCUCAUGAUUUAAAGUCUUACCCUGGGUCUGAAUGGAAAUGAGAGGGAGUGGAUGAUUUGACACACACUCCCGAUUCGACGUACUAUAUGGUUACAUCAUGGUGUGUCCUCCAGAAGAAAUUCAAAAUACAUGUUCCUGUAUAGGCACAGACCUGACUGUUCCCCUGAUAAACUGGUCAUGGGGAAAGAUACAGUUUGCACGGUUGUCAUCAGAGGCGGCGUAUGUAUUCAUUUGUGGAAGCAUGUCAGACACCAUAUGUCAGUAAUAUGCCUUUGAUAUGUUGGUGUCUGAAUAGCUGAAUGGCAUAUGUUUAAAUGUAAACAUCUGUUCUAUGUUUGUAUUGUCUGUAUUCCUUAUUUCUGUAUUUUCUCUUGACUAAGAUUUUAAUUCAAACUCAGGAAUAGUGUGGGAUUCAUUCUAUUUUUAAAGAAAUACAGUUUUUCUAGUUUUUCAGCAUGUGACCAGCGUGUAUCCUUUUACAGAAAAAAAGAAAUCCAUGUAAGAGUGGUGUGUUAAACCAUGAUGACAGUAAAUUGGUUUUAUCCAGAAAUGUUUCUGAUGCAGUUAGAGAACUUGCACUGUGACAUAACUUAAUAAAGGAAUGAAAUAACGCA